Molecule: ribosomal RNA, 253 nt
Filed under: uncultured bacterium
Lineage: Bacteria
Description: partial 16S ribosomal RNA
Rfam family: Bacterial small subunit ribosomal RNA
Source: RNAcentral
UACGAAGGGGGCUAGCGUUGUUCGGAAUUACUGGGCGUAAAGCGUGCGCAGGCGGUUUUGUAGGUCUGUCGUGAAAUCCCCGGGCUCAACCUGGGAAUGGCGAUGGAGACUGCAAGGCUAGAGUUUGGCAGAGGGGGGUAGAAUUCCACGUGUAGCAGUGAAAUGCGUAGAGAUGUGGAGGAACACCGAUGGCGAAGGCGGCUUCCUGGACCGACACUGACGCUGAGGCGCGAAAGCUAGGGGAGCAAACGGG